CCUACGGGAGGCUGCAGUGAGGAAUAUUGCACAAUGGACGCAAGUCUGAUGCAGCAACGCCGCGUGGAGGAUGAAGGCCCUUGGGUCGUAAACUCCUUUUUUCAGGGAAGAGAAUGGACGGUACCUGAAGAAUAAGUCACGGCUAACUACGUGCCAGCAGCCGCGGUAAUACGUAGGUGGCAAGCGUUAUCCGGAAUUACUGGGCGUAAAGCGCACGCAGGCGGUCUUUCAAGUUCGACGUGAAAGCUCCCGGCUUAACUGGGAGAGGUCGUUGAAGACUGAGAGGCUUGAGGCAAUGAGAGGGGUGUAGAAUUCCCGGUGUAGUGGUGGAAUGCGUAGAUAUCGGGGGGAAUACCAGUGGCGAAAGCGGCACCCUAGCAUUAGCCUGACGCUCAUGUGCGAAAGCGUGGGGAGCGAACGGGAUUAGAUACCCUUGUAGU
RNAcentral lists this ribosomal RNA (440 nucleotides) under uncultured bacterium. RNAcentral describes it as "bacterial SSU rRNA". It matches the Rfam family "Bacterial small subunit ribosomal RNA", at positions 338 to 794 of the family's 1533-position model. The record is from RNAcentral.